This 651-nucleotide unclassified non-coding RNA is filed under the name Hevea brasiliensis (rubber tree). Lineage: Eukaryota; Viridiplantae; Streptophyta; Magnoliopsida; Malpighiales; Euphorbiaceae. The record is from RNAcentral.
UUUUUUUUUUUUUCUUUUUCCUUUCUUUUCUUCUUUCUCUCUUUUCUCUUCUCCAUCGCGAUUCUCCAUUACUGUUGACCAUUAGACAUUCCUUCCUUGUCAUCGAAUGGCACUUCAUCACCAUUGGUCUAGUCAUCGGCCAUAGCAUUACUCGCACUCACCGUUUAGCUCCAUUCGGUGUGUAGUGAUUGCUUUUCGUUGUUGCCCUCAUCAGCGCUACUGCAUUCCAUAAAUUUGAUCAUCAAUUGUUUGAUAACCUACGCAUCAUAUUCCCCUAUACUAGUUCGAUCGGCACAUUUUUUUGCUAAUUCCUUUUAUUGCAAUUAAUUCCAGGUGUCUUUACAGGUGCCUUUGUAAGUACCUUUAUAAGUACCUAGAACCUAAUACCUCGUACUUCUGUAGGUGCUUAGCCUUCAUCUGCCUUGUUAAGGUUCUUGUAAGUACUUGCAAUCUUCUAAAACUGCAGUACACUUAAAGAGCUAAUUCUUUUCACAAGUGUCGAUGUCAAAUACUGGGGAGUUGUCUAUCCGAUCUUGUUCUAGAGCUACUUAUUGACUCCAAACUUCCUCCAAUAAUUUUUCUGCAUGUUGUGGUUGUUAUGUCCUGAUGUAAUAAGUUUAACAUAUGUGUAAAUACUUGGAUAUUUAUUGA